Molecule: ribosomal RNA, 305 nt
Filed under: uncultured bacterium
Lineage: Bacteria
Description: bacterial SSU rRNA
Rfam family: Bacterial small subunit ribosomal RNA
Source: RNAcentral
UACCUACGGGGGGCAGCAGUGAGGAAUAUUGGUCAAUGGACGAGAGUCUGAACCAGCCAAGUAGCGUGAAGGAUGACUGCCCUACGGGUUGUAAACCUCUUUUAUGCGGGGAUAAAGGUGUCCACGUGUGGAUGUUUGCAGGUACCGUAUGAAUAAGGACCGGCUAAUUCCGUGCCAGCAGCCGCGGUAAUACGGAAGGUCCGGGCGUUAUCCGGAUUUAUUGGGUUUAAAGGGAGCGUAGGCCGGUCUUUAAGCGUGCCGUGAAAUUUUGUGGCUCAACCAUGAGAGUGCGGCGCGAACUGGAG